AGGUUAAGUUAAUAAGGGCGCAUGGUGGAUGCCUUGGCACUAGAAGGCGAUGAAGGACGUGACUAACUACGAUAUGCCUCGGUUAGCUGUAAGUAAGCUUACCCGGGGGUUUCCGAAUGGGGCAACCCGAUCUUAAUGAUCAUCAUCUUUUUGAAUUCAUAGAUUAGAUGAAGCAAACGCUGUGAACUGAAACAUCUCAGUAGCAGUAGGAAAGUAAAGAAAUUUCGAUUCCGUCAGUAGCGGCGAGCGAACGCGGAAGAGCCCAAACCUGGAUGCUUGCAUCCAGGGGUUGUAGGACUGAUGUUGAGUUACAAAGGUAUAAGAUAGCAGAAACAGUUGGGAAGCUGUUCCAAAGAGGGUGACAGGCCCGUAUGCGAAAUCUUGUACUCUCUAAUCAGGAUCCUGAGUACGGCCCAGCACGUGAAAUUGGGUCGGAAUCUGGGAGGACCAUCUCCCAAGGCUAAAUACUAACUAGUGACCGAUAGCGAACAAGUACCGUGAGGGAAAGGUGAAAAGAACCCCGGAAGGGGAGUGAAAUAGUUC
RNAcentral lists this ribosomal RNA (543 nucleotides) under Oenococcus oeni. RNAcentral describes it as "bacterial LSU rRNA". It matches the Rfam family "Bacterial large subunit ribosomal RNA", at positions 1 to 549 of the family's 2925-position model. The record is from RNAcentral. Lineage: Bacteria; Bacillati; Bacillota; Bacilli; Lactobacillales; Lactobacillaceae.